Small nucleolar RNA from Trematomus bernacchii (emerald rockcod), 79 nucleotides. RefSeq annotates it as small nucleolar RNA SNORD53/SNORD92. NCBI's taxonomy places the organism in Eukaryota, Metazoa, Chordata, Actinopteri, Perciformes, Nototheniidae. The transcript has a single exon. The record is from RefSeq and is a predicted model, not a curated record.
GUGGGAUGAUUGAGAGUCAGAGGUUUCGCUUUAAAAAGCUGAACUCCUGUGAUGUCAAUCCUCUUGGCUGUCUGACCAC